GAAGCUGUGCCUGAAUCAAAGGGUCACUUUGAUAGAGUGAAUCAUGAAGGUGAAAGCCCUUCCAGCUUCU
This 70-nucleotide transfer RNA is filed under the name Chaetodon flavirostris (black butterflyfish). RNAcentral describes it as "tRNA-Ile". RNAcentral also lists the same sequence under 2 other names. The record is from RNAcentral. Lineage: Eukaryota; Metazoa; Chordata; Actinopteri; Chaetodontiformes; Chaetodontidae.